CCCCCCCCCCCCCCCAGGGAAUGGUAUCAAGCUAGCACACGCAAGGACGUUGGAUACUGCUAAAAAUUUGUAUAGAUACGUUUCUAUCAUUCCGCAUGAGGGUGACUUUGAGGUCGACGAAGCGCAGCUGUGUUUCUCUGAAUAAUUGUUUGAAAGCACCCGAACAAGAUACCUCUGGGCAUUUAUCUUUAUUCCAUCAGACAUUUAUAUACUUAGCCGUCAAAUGUAUAAUUUAUCCUACAAUCAGAUAUGUUAUGAUGUCGUCAACAUGGUGUAAAAUAAUCGGAUUCAUCAUCAGUUAUCCGUUAUCGGUCACGUUAGCCGUCUAUUCUAAAUAAAAACGAACCAACACGAGCGACUGGAUUUUGUUUUUAAGAGUAAUCUAACUAGGAUCUACGUAUAUUCACUAAUUAUCGCACAACGAACCAUAAGCUGCUAAAUAACUUUCGAUUUGAACUUCUUCAUGUAUUAACUUCUUCUGAAACAGAAAGGCUGGAAAGAUUUGUAGAGAGCCAUUAAAGACGAUUCAGUUUUGGAAAGUGAUAACUAAGUGUGUAUUUCGUAUUGUACAAUGUAGUCAUUUUUAAUGUAUAAUGAUUUAUAUGUAUAUUUGUUUUAUAUAAAAAUAAAUAAACGUCCGUAUAAUCUUUUUGUUUUUCUUGUUUAUGUCGGACCCGUUCGACCACUCGGAUUAUUUGUCGUCAAAUUAUAGAAACUUUUUAAUAGACUUUUAAAACGCGGGAAUAUCUUUUAACAAAAUAGAAUUUAUUUUUUUUAAACAUUUUCUGUUUAGUGUAUUUGAAUAUUUAUACAUAUAUACAAUUAUAUUAUUUUGUAUUUAUUAAAUACAAAAUUAUUUAAGGUAUUAUUUAACAUAAUUUUUAGAUAUUUCAACUCUUUUAGAUAGGAAUUUUUAGUGAAAUUUUUGUAAUUUAUUAUAUCAAUUUUAUGAUGUAUUUCUAUAAAAUGUUUAUUAUAAAAUUUAUUUGAUGUCACUUUAUUGCAUUUUAUUUAUAUUCAGUAUUUAAUUUAAUAUGAAACUUUAUUUCAAUUUAAAUGAAUGUAAUUUUUUAUUUAUGAAAAUAUAAAUAAAAUAAUCUCUUAAUUUAAUUGAUUUGAUACAGUUCGAAAUUAUUUUGUAGUAUCUACACCUACAAAAAUAAGUUAUACUUAUUACUUUCAGUUGGUGAAAAUGGUUUCAAAACUAAAAAAAAACCAUCAUAUGCAAUACCUUGAAGAUAUUGAUCACCUCAAUGAAAGCUUUUCUACUUUUCAUCUAACAUAUGUACCUCAGAUUCAAAAUACAAAAGCAGAUAAUCUUGCUCGUGGUGCACGAAAUCAGUUGUCCUAUUUUGUCCCUAUGGACACAUAUUCAUUUGUUUGGUUAGCAGAGUCUUAAUCGAAUUUGUUUAUGUUGAUGACAAAAAAGGGUUAUACAUAUUUUUGAUUUUUUAUAACUUAGUUGAAUGUUUUAGUCAAUUAUAAUGUUUUCUAUUGUUUAGACACAAUAUUAAUUAUUUUUUGUUUGGAAACAUAGAUAGUAAUAUAAUUUUGUUUUCCUAGCUACUUCAUAAUAGAGAGUUGUUUUAAUUUAAAAUCCUACAAAAAGUUAGAUUUAAGAGAGCAUUUCUGUUUUAAUUAGAGAAAUUAAAAUAUCAUUAUUUUAAAUCUUUUAGAAAUUCACCAAGUUUUUCCCCUGAUAAUCUUACUUGUUACUUAACUUAGUUUGUUUGAGUAAUUUGAUUUAUUAUUUUUAUUUUGUUUGUUUGAAUCAAGUACUCAUAUAUCAGGUAUCAGAAACAAAAAUAAUACUUACAAAUUAUUUGACUCGGUUUGUUAUUUGCUAAAUUAAUACUUGUCAAUAAAAUAUCUAAUUAUUUGUAAAUAAUUGAAACUAAAAUAAAUUUAACAAAUAACAAAUACCUUUUAAUGAGUAAUAAAUUGUUUUUAGCGGGUAAUACAUAUUGUAUAAUGAGUAAUUAGUAUUUUCUAUAACAAGUAACGAGCAAUAACAAAAUAAGUAACAACCCAAGUAUUAGAAAAUAUGAAGAGACUUGAUACUUAACUAUCUAAUUAUUUGAUAUGACGAGACUUAAUACUUGUCAAUAAAAUAUCUAAUUAUUUGUAAAUAAUUGAAACUAAAAUAAAUUUAACAAAUAACAAAUACCUUUUAAUGAGUAAUAAAUUGUUUUUUUAGCGGGUAAUACAUAUUUUGUAAUGAGUAAUUAGUAUUUUCUAUAACAAGUAACAAGCAAUAACAAAAUAAGUAACAACCCAAGUAUUAGCAAAUACGACGAGACUUGAUACUUAACUCAGACUUGCAAGUAAUAAUAUUAUUGAAUUUUUUCUUAAA
Long non-coding RNA from Brassica rapa (field mustard), 2353 nucleotides. RefSeq lists it as uncharacterized. The record is from RefSeq and is a predicted model, not a curated record. NCBI's taxonomy places the organism in Eukaryota, Viridiplantae, Streptophyta, Magnoliopsida, Brassicales, Brassicaceae.